UAGAAGUUAACUAGUGAGAUCAAAAUAAACACUCAUAAACUCAAUUUACCUUUUUCUUUGACCAGGUCUGAGACGGCUCCCCCUCUGUCUCCUGCCUCGAGCCACCUGGUGGGGCAGCGAGGUUUACACAAGAGACUAGCAGGAGAGAGAGAGAGCACGCCAGGGAGUGGCCUUUUAUUGGGGAACAAGAAAUUCAGGGGAAAAUUCCAUCCAAUGAAGGUCGAGGGGGACAGCAUUCCAAGGUCAGGGUCAGUGAUUGGUCUCAGGGUCAAUGGUCAAUCACACCCCCACACGGAUGGGCUCUCGCACCUAGAAAGGGUGGGGAUUAGUUCUGACACAGUUUAGCCGGAACACCUCACACCCAGUCAGGGAGGUGACCAAUCACAUGCGAGAACGGCUUCCCACAGCCCACGAGAACACAUUCCUUCUAUUUGAUGAAGUGAAGUCUUCCCUGAUUUUAGAAUCCAUCUUUGAAGUCAAGGAAGACCCUGAAGCUGUAGUGUUGCCAUUUUGUCUUUUGACAAUACACAGGUACAGGACGCCUGUGCCCAGGUUUGCUGCACUCACCCCCCACAGGCCUGUCCCCUGAGCACACAGGCUUGGCUUGAGCAUUGACGAGUGUCAUGAAUAAACCAAACAAUAAAAGAUGAUUUGGACUGAGGAAGGAGAGGUCUGCCUCCUGCCGGGGUGAAGAGAGCCUCUGAGUGAAGACCUGAGUCAGGACGAGAGCCGCCCUGCAGGAAAGCGUCUUCCAGGGAAGCGGAGGAAGAGAGAGGCUGGACCCGAGGCUGCAGAGCCAGAGGAGGCCCUGGAGCCGGGGCACUGCGAACACUUGGCCCGGCGGAGACCCAUAAGCAAAAGACCUAAAUUAAUGAGAUGCAGUGUCCCCAAAUCAUCUCUUGAAGGAAUCACCCUUACAGUUGAACCCUUGCAAAUCCUCACAGCACAAGUCAUCUUUCAAUUCCUUGCGUUUAAAUACCUGCUCUUUCUGGGGAAGCCAUGUUAGCCUGAACACCCUCAGGGCUGGUUAGUUUGGCCCAAAGUACAAUCCAUAGUCGACCAGGUACAAUCCACAGUCGCAGCUGGAAUGUCCACCAUCACUGUUCACAGCCUUCAAAGGCAAACUGAGAGGUGAUUACACCACAGAGGCCUUGGCUAAAGACCUACAGGAAAAAGGAGCAACUCGAGCGUCCUAAUGUACUUAAAAUAAAAUCCCCAGGGAGUGGUCCUACACAGAUUCCAGACUGUUUGAAAAUCGGAGAGGAAAGGCAAGGAAAUGAGCUCCUGGACCAGGAUCCAUGGGGCUGCAGAGCCAUCCACCUGGGCACCUGUUACUAAUGGAGUCGGAAUCUGCAUCUUACAAGAUCCUUACACGACUGGUGUACAUCGCAAAGUUGGAGAAGCUUGCUUCUGAAAACCUGGAACAGAGAUCACAGGUGGCUCCAGUCCUGAAAAAGACGUGAAUGUUGGAAAUGCAGGUAGAGGAUUUUAACAGUUGUCUUAAGAACUAUAAGAAAAAGGUAAUGGCCAGGCACGGUGGCUCACUCCUAUAUCCCAGCAGCUCAGGAGGCUGAGGCAGGAGGAUCACAAGUUCAAAGCCAGCCUCAGCAACUUAGCAAGUCCCUGUCUCAAAAUAAAAAAUAAAAAAGGCUACGGAUGAAGCUCUGCUGCUAAGCACCCGUGGAUUCAAUCCUUGGUACAAAAAGAAAAAAUGAUGUUUAUAAAUUGAGAUUUUAUGUGUUUAUAACUAGAUAAGCAGUGCAGUGGUCAGCAUUGUGGGCUCUGAAGCCAACUACAUGGGUGUAUAUUCUAUUUCUUUCAAUUCACUUUUCCAGCUGGUGUCUCUGGGUAAAUUACUCAUCUCUGUUUCUCAGGGCUCUCAUUGGCAAAAUUUCAAAUAUAUGUUAA
RNAcentral lists this long non-coding RNA (1908 nucleotides) under Marmota monax (woodchuck). The record is from RNAcentral. Lineage: Eukaryota; Metazoa; Chordata; Mammalia; Rodentia; Sciuridae.